Molecule: ribosomal RNA, 485 nt
Filed under: uncultured Sphingobacterium sp.
Lineage: Bacteria; Pseudomonadati; Bacteroidota; Sphingobacteriia; Sphingobacteriales; Sphingobacteriaceae
Description: partial 16S ribosomal RNA
Source: RNAcentral
CACGGAGUUAGCCGAUCCUUAUUCUUCAGGUACAUUCAGCUUCCUACACGUAGAAAGGUUUAUUCCCUGACAAAAGCAGUUUACAACCCAUAGGGCAGUCAUCCUGCACGCGGCAUGGCUGGUUCAGAGUUCCCUCCAUUGACCAAUAUUCCUUACUGCUGCCUCCCGUAGGAGUCUGGUCCGUGUCUCAGUACCAGUGUGGGGGAUUCUCCUCUCAGAGCCCCUAGACAUCGUAGCCUUGGUGGGCCGUUACCCCUCCAACUAGCUAAUGUCACGCGAGCCCAUCCAUAUCCUAUAAAUAUUUGAUCAUCAACCGAUGCCGGCCGAUGAUGUUAUGCGGUGUUAAUCUCUCUUUCGAGAGGCUAUCCCCCUGAUAUGGGUAGGUUGCUCACGCGUUACGCACCCGUGCGCCACUCUCAUCAGUUCGUAGCAAGCUACUCCCUGAAUCCCGUCCGACUUGCAUGUAUUAGGCCUGCCGCUAGCGU